RNAcentral lists this ribosomal RNA (1656 nucleotides) under Clostridium botulinum. RNAcentral describes it as "partial 23S ribosomal RNA". It matches the Rfam family "Bacterial large subunit ribosomal RNA", at positions 1 to 1659 of the family's 2925-position model. Lineage: Bacteria; Bacillati; Bacillota; Clostridia; Eubacteriales; Clostridiaceae. The record is from RNAcentral.
AGGUCAAGCUACAAAGGGCGCAUGGUGAAUGCCUUGGCAUCAGGAGCCGAUGAAGGACGCGAUAAGCUGCGAUAAGCUUCGGGUAGACGCACAUAGUCAGAGAUCCGAAGAUUUCCGAAUGAGGAAACUCACAUGGGAAACCCCAUGUAUCGUAAAGUGAAUACAUAGCUUUAUGAAGGUAAACCCAGGGAACUGAAACAUCUAAGUACCUGGAGGAAGAGAAAGAAAAAUCGAUUUUCUUAGUAGCGGCGAGCGAAAGGGAAAGAGCCCAAACCAAAGAUUUAUCUUUGGGGUUGCGGACAGAACAUUAACGAGAAAUUAUGGUUAACCGAACACAACUGGAAAGUUGGACCGUAGGGGGUAAUAGUCCUGUAGGUGAAAAUUAUAAUGAUCAAGUUCUGAUCCAGAGUACCACGAGACACGUGAAACCUUGUGGGAAGCAGGGAGGACCACCUCCCAAGGCUAAAUACUACCUGAUGACCGAUAGUGAAGCAGUACCGUGAGGGAAAGGUGAAAAGAACCCCGGGAGGGGAGUGAAAUAGAACCUGAAACCAUGUGCCUACAACCGAUCAAAGCACCUUAUGUGUGUGAUGAUGUGCUUUUUGUAGAACGAGCCAACGAGUUACGGUAUGUAGCAAGGUUAAGUACUUAAGGUACGGAGCCGAAGGGAAACCGAGUCUUAAUAGGGCGACUAGUUGCAUGCUGUAGACCCGAAACCGGGUGACCUAUCCAUGGCCAGGUUGAAGCGAGGGUAAAACCUCGUGGAGGACCGAACCACGUUGCUGUUGAAAAAGCAUGGGAUGAGCUGUGGAUAGCGGAGAAAUUCCAAUCGAACUCGGAUAUAGCUGGUUCUCCUCGAAAUAGCUUUAGGGCUAGCGUCGGAAAAUGUGAGUACUGGGGGUAGAGCACUGAAUGGGCUAGGGGGCAUAGCGCUUACCGAACCUUAUCAAACUCCGAAUACCAGAUACUAUCAGUCCGGCAGUCAGACUGCGAAAGAUAAGUUCCGUAGUCAAAAGGGAAACAGCCCAGAUCGUCAGCUAAGGUCCCAAAGUGUAAGUUAAGUGGAAAAGGAUGUGGGAUUUCUAAGACAACUAGGAUGUUGGCUUAGAAGCAGCCACUCAUUAAAAGAGUGCGUAAUAGCUCACUAGUCAAGAGAUCCUGCGCCGAAAAUGUCCGGGGCUCAAACUUACCACCGAAGCUACGGGUUCACACAAUAGUGUGAGCGGUAGAGGAGCGUCGUAAUCGGGCUGAAGUCGUACCGUAAGGAGCGGUGGACUGAUUACGAGUGAGAAUGUUGGCAUUAGUAGCGAGAUGUGGGUGAGAAUCCCACAGGCCGAAUACCUAAGGUUUCCUCAGGAAGGUUCGUCCGCUGAGGGUUAGUCGGGACCUAAGCUGAGGCCGAAAGGCGUAAGCGAUGGACAAUCGGUUGAUAUUCCGAUACCACUAUUAUCGUUAUUAUCGAUGGUGUGACGGAGAAGGAUAGGAUGUGCUAGCUAUUGGAUGCUAGUCUAAGCGUUUAGGGAGUUAGAAUAGGCAAAUCCGUUCUAACAAUUCUGAGGCGUGAUGGGGAAGGUUCUAAGGAACCGAAGUAUCUGAUUCCAUGCUUCCAAGAAAAGCAUCUAGAAAGAGAAAUAGUGCCCGUACCGCAAACCGACA